UGGGGAAUAUUGGACAAUGGAGGAAACUCUGAUCCAGCAAUUCUGUGUGUGUGAAGAAGGUUUUAGGACUGUAAAACACUUUUAGUAGGGAAGAAAAAAAUGACGGUACCUACAGAAGAAGCAACGGCUAAAUACGUGCCAGCAGCCGCGGUAAUACGUAUGUUGCGAGCGUUAUCCGGAAUUAUUGGGCUUAAAGGGCAUCUAGGCGGUAAGACAAGUUGAAGGUGAAAACCUGUGGCUCAACCAUUGGCUUGCCUACAAAACUGUUGAACUAGAGUACUGGAAAGGUGGGUGGAACUACACGAGUAGAGGUGAAAUUCGUAGAUAUGUGUAGGAAUGCCGAUGAUGAAGAUAACUCACUGGACAGAAACUGACGCUGAAGUGCGAAAGCUAGGGGAGCAAACAGG
RNAcentral lists this ribosomal RNA (407 nucleotides) under Verrucomicrobiota bacterium. RNAcentral's name for it is "Verrucomicrobia bacterium partial 16S ribosomal RNA". It matches the Rfam family "Bacterial small subunit ribosomal RNA", at positions 355 to 776 of the family's 1533-position model. Lineage: Bacteria; Pseudomonadati; Verrucomicrobiota. The record is from RNAcentral.